GACGAACGCUGGCGGCGUGCUUAACACAUGCAAGUCGAACGGAAAGGCCCUUCGGGGUACUCGCGUGGCGAACGGGCGGGUAACACGUGGGUGAUCUGCCCUGCACUCUGUGAUAAGCCUGGGACACUGGGUCUAAUACCGAAUAGCACCACGCUCUUCAUGGUGUGUGGUGGAAAGCCUUUGCGGUGUGGCAUGUGCCCGCGGCAUAUCAGCUCGUUGGUGGGGUACUGGACUACCAAGGCGACGACGGGUAGCCGGCCUGGGAGGGAGACCGGCCACAGUGGGACACGGAUACGGCCAGGACGCAUUCGGGAGGAAGGAGCGGAGAAUAGAGGACAAAGGGCGCAAGCAUGAAGGAGGGACGCCGCGUGGGGGAUGACGGCUUUCGGGUUGGAAACCACUUUUAAGAGGGACGACGCGUAAGGGACGGAACCAAUAGAAGAAGCACCGGCAACUUAGGU
RNAcentral lists this ribosomal RNA (461 nucleotides) under uncultured bacterium. RNAcentral describes it as "partial 16S ribosomal RNA". It matches the Rfam family "Bacterial small subunit ribosomal RNA", at positions 28 to 506 of the family's 1533-position model. The record is from RNAcentral.